UUACAAAGAAAUAAGAGAGAGAAAAGAGAAAGUAGGAAAAGAAAGGAAAGGAGGAAAAGAAGAAAAAAUGGAGAAGAAAAAUAGAAAAGAGAGAGGAUGAAUUAUUAAUCUCCUCCCACCACCUUCACUCAUUCAUGAAGAAAUUUGAAAAUUAGAGAGAGAGAGAGAGGGGGGAAGAGAAGGAAGAGAAGAGAGGGAGAGAAUAUGAAAAGAAAUGAAGAAAUGAAGAAAUGAAGAAAAAGGUAAUUUCAAAAUAUUGAUAAUUUUAGUUUUUAUAGAUUUUAUGUAAAGAGUACAUACUUAUGUAUGUAUUGGAUGAUUGAAACUUGCAUAAACAUGAAUUAAAUGAGAGAAAUCUAGAAAUCAGAAGAAUAAAAUAUUGAGAUUUUCAGAAAAAUUAGUUUACUACUUGAUUUUGUAAAAUCCAUAACUCUUUGUGUAUAAUGAGUUAGGAGAUGAGCUAUAAUUCAAACGAAAGCCCUGGAAGUAAGCUAAACGCAGAAAUUUGAAUCACUCAAAAAUUCUUUGUUGAUUUUUCGUGGUGAUAGUUUGAGUGAAACUGGUACAAAGAAUUUAUAGUCCGAAAAAUCAUUUUAUUAAGCUAUAUUGCGUGAGUUAUAAUUGUUAAUCCGACCGUUGGAUCGUUGUGAUUUUUUGAUAUGUUAUACAUAUAUAAGUUCAGUAUAUGUUCACAAAUUUUGAACCAUUAAAGAUUAACGUAUGAUUUUUUAUGAAUUUAAGGAGGUGACUGAUCCAGAUAUUUUUAUAGCAAAAUUUUCGGUAAGCCUUUCUCUCUAUGUUAGAGUCAGAAUUUGGAAAAACUUUCUACAAAGUUGUAGAGAAUUAAAUUUUACAUGAAAAAGACAUAAGAUCCGUACUUUUCUGAUAAAAGGGCUACUUAUUAUGAAUUAUUGAAGUUUCUGAAUAUUAGAAUUUAUAAUUAAUUUAUCAGAAAAAUUAUUUGGGCUAAGAUAUUUUACAGAAUGCUUAUAAUAUCAUCUUAGAAUUUUUGUAAAUUUUUGAUGAAUUAUUGAAAAGCAUUAUUGUAUUUUUAAACUAUUUAUAGUUAGUUUGAAAAUAGAAGAAAUUCAUAGAAAAUUCUAUGAAUGAUGAAAAAUUAUUAAACUUGGUGAAAAAUGGUAUAAUAUUAUUUUAUAAUUUCUGGGUAGUUUUGAAAAAUUAUUUUAUAACAAAAAUAUUUAUUGUAUUUUUAAGCUAUUUAUGGUUAGUUUAAAAAUAGAGGAAAUUCAUAGAAAAUUCUAUGAAUGGUGAAAAAUUAUGAAUUCUGCUGAAAAAUAUUAUAAUAAUUUAAGAUUAAUAUUGAUGAUGUUUUAAAGAUAUAAAAGUAUGUGGAGUUAGUAUUUCUAUUUUGAAGCUAUUAAAUGAUAGUUUUUAUAAAUAAAAAUAAUUAUAGAAAAUUGUUGGAUAAUCCAAAAAAUGUAAAAAUUAUUUAGAAAGUUUAGAAUACUAUUUUAAAUAUUUUAGAAGUGUUAGUAAGCUCAUGAGGUGUCGGGAUGUAAACGCACAAGUAACGAAUGAGUUAUGAUAAAAACAAAAAUAAUAUUUUUGUUAAAGUAAAAAUGGUGAUAAUACCAGAAUAGUGGAUUGACAUUUUAAAAAUAAAUUAUCAGAUAUGAAGUUUUAGAUUUCUCAAGUUUUAUUCACUUCUAAUGUUUUGGAAUAUGAAUAAUGAUGUUAUGCGAUAAAUAAAGACAACUUGAUGAAUAAUAAAUUAUUAGUUGGUUUAUAUGUUAUUCGAGGUAAAUAUGUUUUGGUGUUGACCCCGACUUUUAAUAGAAUUAGUAAGGUAUUGAUUUGAUUCUUACGUAAUAAGUCACUAUGUAUUUCAUUCAAUAAUUGUCACAAUAGUUAUUGCACAGUAACUCAUAUUAUUUGAUAUAAUUAAACUAGUUGGCAGUAUUGUGAGUCUAUGUUAAUAAUUGUUGAAAGAUUGAAAAUGUGUAAAUAAUUGAUGAAUAAAAGGUGUUGAUUAAAGAUAAGUAUGAUAUACAGAUGUUUGUUCAAUUAUUUUCUUUUUACAAAAGUAUAUUUGGCAGGACUUGCCGACACUCUACUUUUCCUAAAGUAAUCUGGACCACAACUCAAUUAUUUUUAAAACGUGUACAAGUUGGUUUAAUUUUCUCGGUGGGACCAUAAAUUCCACUACCAUUAUUAUAUACCUCAUUUGGUUAUUUUGACAAAGCAGGUGUGCUAGUUGUUUACUAAAUUUUCAGUAUAAAUAGGUUGCCCGGUUGAGCAACUAAACACACACCAUCACUGCACUAAAAAUAUAAAAAUUCUUUUACUACAAUAUUAUGAGUAUAAUAUUGUGAGUAUUUCUAUUGAGUGUAAUAUUACUCCAUGUGUAGAAAAGGAAUGCAAGCAUUUUUUAAGUUGAUCAAUUUUAUAGAAAGAAGAAUCAAGUCACAUGCUAAGGUAAGGGAUAUCAUUAUUAUGAUAAAGGGUUUCAUUUUUAUGGUAAAGUGAUAUCAUUUUCUUUCAUACUCCAUAUUAUGGUAAGAUAUUAUUAUUCGUUACUUCAGCUUAUCAUUAAAUGGUAAAAAGUCCUGAAAGGAUUAGAAUAUCCUUAAUAGUUUGUGCUUCAUCUAAAAUCAUGUUGGCAAUUUGGACUCUGGAUAAUUAAAAUAAAAAUCACUAAGAUCUAUUUUAUCUUAUCAUUCUGAUUCUUUGUGUUCAUUCAUUAUAUAUAUCAUUGUCAUCAUCCUCAUGCUUAUAUUGUGAUGAAAGUUAUCUUUGGCCCGUAAUGCAUAUAUGGACUAUUGAUUGGUAUGAUUAUGACCAGGGAUUAUUCGGUAUAAUCAUGGCCAUUAGUGAUAACACGAAUAUCCUUGGCCCGUAGUGCAUGGAUAAUUCGUGGAUGUGAUACUAAUGGAUAUCCUUGGCCGUAGUGCAUGGAUAAUUCAAUGAUGUAGAUUAUUUAUUGAACUGAGUCUCAACGAUAAAAUAUUAAUUCGUGGAUGCGAUAACACAAAUAUCCUUGGCCCGUAGUGCAUGGAUAAUUCGUGGAUGUGAUACUAAUGCAUAUCCUUGGCCCGUAGUGCAUGGAUAAUUCAGUGAUGUGGAUUAUUUAUUGAGCUGAGUCUCAGCGAUAAAAUAUUGAUGAUAAACUUUUAAAUCAUAGAAGAUAGUAGAUAUCAUGAUAUACUUGACUCUUCUAAAAUACAGUUGUAUGUCUUUGGCUCGUAGUGCAAAGAUGGACUGUUGAUUUACCUGAUUAUAAAUAUGAAUUGUGAAUUUAACUAUAAUCUUUGGUGGUUCAGGUGAAGACAGGUGAUGAGAGUUAUCUUUGUCUUGGGUACAACAAAGAACUAUUGAUGGGUAUUACAGUAAUGAAGUAUUGAUGAUGGAAUUUUAAUUUUGAGAGGAUAAUAGACAUUAUGUUCUACUUGACUCUUCUAAUGGAUUGUUGAUUUCGUUGCUAUUAUGGUUGAAAACUUUUAUCUUCUACCAUAUGUUCUAAAUAUCUGAUUUAUUAUGGAUAAAGGCUAUUGAUAAUUUAUUUAUCUUAAGUCAUGAUAUUCUUUACUGGUCUAUUUGUACUCACCUUUUUAUUUCACCAUCCCUUUCAGGAAAUAAAAGUGUAACUGGGACUAGCAGUGAGAAAAGGGUAUAAAGUGGUAUUUCAAAUGAUCAAAAUCCUAAUCAAAUUAUAAAAUGGUGUGACAUAAUAAUUGUAUUGAGAAUUUAAAAUGUGUGUGAUAUAUUUUAUACAUCAUUUAAUAGUUAUAUUUAGUUAACCAAAUAGGGGGAUGCGAACUCGAAUUUGAAAGCGUCAAAAUGCAUUCCAUUAGAAUGAGGAGGACAUAAAUCUUCUCGUGUUCCUUUGGGGACUUGAAAAUACAUGCUGCUGUAUUUUAUAUGGCAUUGUAAUAAUUUGAGUAUGAAUAUUGUCGUAUUAUAUACGCUACAAUAUUUGUAUUGAAACUCACAAUACAUGUGUGAUAAGUGGAAUUUAUAUACGCGAUUCAAUGUCCAUUUCAUGCUUAUUUGUUGCUAAAUUCUUGUGAUCAUGUUCCUUUUUACUCGUUUUAUGUUAUUGCAUGUGUAGGAUGGUAGUUGUGGCUUGUAACGUAUAUUUGGAGUUAAUUGGGAUGAUUUGAAGUCAAUUAGAGCAAAAUUGGAGUACAACAUGAAAUUCAGCAAGUCAUCUGACAGAUUACACCCCCGCCGGGGCGGCGGGGUCUUCAUUCGAGCUUGACAGAAAGGUGGCCCGCUGGGGCGGGCGUUUAUAGCACAUGAACCCCCGCCGGGGUGGGGGGUGUCGAUUCUGAAGUUGUCCUGCUAUGAUUGAAAUUCUUCUUGGGCAUGGAUUCUAGUUUAUUGCAUGACAAUAGAACUCUAAUUGAAAGGAAUUUCGGCUGGAGCUUGUGUGUUGGACAUCUAUUACUUUAUCAAUAACAACUUUAACAAUACAACAAGACAUAUUGCGAAGAUUGAGCUCUAUUUUUCCUAACAAGUGUGGAGGAGUAUUUCGAAGAGAUUUUUGAGACGAUUGCGAUUAUAGGCUACGUGAAGGGUGUUUUUUAAUAUUCUUCGUCUUAGGCUAUUAUUUGUAAUCACAAGAAUGAUUUCUAUGAUUUAUUCAGUGUUUAUUUCGUUUAUUAUGAACUAAUUCACUUUUUAGGCUUAUGAUGGAUCUUUGAGUGAAACAAUCAUUUUGUAACCUUUGAGUUCCAUUUCAAUAAUCUAUUUCCAG
Molecule: long non-coding RNA, 4717 nt
Filed under: Panax ginseng (ginseng)
Lineage: Eukaryota; Viridiplantae; Streptophyta; Magnoliopsida; Apiales; Araliaceae
Description: long non-coding RNA (PGIN_LNC008086)
Source: RNAcentral